UACGGAGGGUGCAAGCGUUAAUCGGAAUUACUGGGCGUAAAGCGUGCGCAGGCGGUUAUGUAAGACAGAUGUGAAAUCCCCGGGCUCAACCUGGGACCUGCAUUUGUGACUGCAUAGCUGGAGUACGGUAGAGGGGGAUGGAAUUCCGCGUGUAGCAGUGAAAUGCGUAGAUAUGCGGAGGAACACCGAUGGCGAAGGCAAUCCCCUGGACCUGUACUGACGCUCAUGCACGAAAGCGUGGGGAGCAAACAGG
Molecule: ribosomal RNA, 253 nt
Filed under: uncultured bacterium
Lineage: Bacteria
Description: partial 16S ribosomal RNA
Rfam family: Bacterial small subunit ribosomal RNA
Source: RNAcentral